This 467-nucleotide ribosomal RNA is filed under the name uncultured bacterium. RNAcentral's name for it is "partial 16S ribosomal RNA". It matches the Rfam family "Bacterial small subunit ribosomal RNA", at positions 28 to 506 of the family's 1533-position model. The record is from RNAcentral.
GACGAACGCUGGCGGCGUGCUUAACACAUGCAAGUCGAACGGAAAGGCCCUGCUUUUGUGGGGUGCUCGAGUGGCGAACGGGUGAGUAACACGUGAGUAACCUGCCCUUGACUUUGGGAUAACUUCAGGAAACUGGGGCUAAUACCGGAUAGGAGCUCCUGCUGCAUGGUGGGGGUUGGAAAGUUUCGGCGGUUGGGGAUGGACUCGCGGCUUAUCAGCUUGUUGGUGGGGUAGUGGCUUACCAAGGCUUUGACGGGUAGCCGGCCUGAGAGGGUGACCGGCCACAUUGGGACUGAGAUACGGCCCAGACUCCUACGGGAGGCAGCAGUGGGGAAUAUUGCCCAAUGGGCGGAAGCCUGAUGCAGCAACGCCGCGUGCGGGAUGACGGCCUUCGGGUUGUAAACCGCUUUCGCCUGUGACGAAGCGUGAGUGACGGUAAUGGGUAAAGAAGCACCGGCUAACUACGU